This 174-nucleotide non-coding RNA is filed under the name Bdellovibrionales bacterium. Its description in RNAcentral is "MoCo sequence". It matches the Rfam family "Molybdenum/Tungsten riboswitch aptamer (Moco RNA motif)". The record is from RNAcentral. Lineage: Bacteria; Pseudomonadati; Bdellovibrionota; Bdellovibrionia; Bdellovibrionales.
UUUUACAUUUACCGAGCCCUAAAACCUAACGCUACAAUAGCCAAGGUAUUAAGGCCGCAAGCAAGAUUUAGAUAAAUAUUUUAGAUAAAUAUUUUAGAUAAAUACUGCUUGCUAGGGCGAGAAUGGGAAACUAACUCGCCUCCCGUAUAGGAAAGGACUUUAAUGAGAGCUUUA